This 1279-nucleotide ribosomal RNA is filed under the name Salmonella enterica subsp. enterica serovar Typhimurium. Its description in RNAcentral is "bacterial LSU rRNA". It matches the Rfam family "Bacterial large subunit ribosomal RNA", at positions 1 to 1211 of the family's 2925-position model. Lineage: Bacteria; Pseudomonadati; Pseudomonadota; Gammaproteobacteria; Enterobacterales; Enterobacteriaceae. The record is from RNAcentral.
GGGUUGUGAGGUUAAGCGACUAAGCGUACACGGUGGAUGCCUUGGCAGUCAGAGGCGAUGAAGGGCGUGCUAAUCUGCGAUAAGCGCCGGUAAGGUGAUAUGAACCGUUAUAACCGGCGAUACCCGAAUGGGGAAACCCAGUGUGACUCGUCACACUAUCAUUAACUGAAUCCAUAGGUUAAUGAGGCGAACCGGGGGAACUGAAACAUCUAAGUACCCCGAGGAAAAGAAAUCAACCGAGAUUCCCCCAGUAGCGGCGAGCGAACGGGGAGGAGCCCAGAGCCUGAAUCAGCAUGUGUGUUAGUGGAAGCGUCUGGAAAGGUGCGCGAUACAGGGUGACAGCCCCGUACACAAAAGCGCAUGUGCUGUGAGCUCGAUGAGUAGGGCGGGACACGUGGUAUCCUGUCUGAAUAUGGGGGGACCAUCCUCCAAGGCUAAAUACUCCUGACUGACCGAUAGUGAACCAGUACCGUGAGGGAAAGGCGAAAAGAACCCCGGCGAGGGGAGUGAAAAAGAACCUGAAACCGUGUACGUACAAGCAGUGGGAGCCCCACCACUAAGCCAGUGGUGAACUCCACAUCCGCAUCCUUUGCUGAGGAUACGGUUAACGGAGCGAAAGCGACGUUCAACCGCAAAACAAGCAGAGGGGGCUUAGUGGUGGGGUGACUGCGUACCUUUUGUAUAAUGGGUCAGCGACUUAUAUUCUGUAGCAAGGUUAACCGUAUAGGGGAGCCGGAGGGAAACCGAGUCUUAAUUGGGCGUUAAGUUGCAGGGUAUAGACCCGAAACCCGGUGAUCUAGCCAUGGGCAGGUUGAAGGUUGGGUAACACUAACUGGAGGACCGAACCGACUAAUGUUGAAAAAUUAGCGGAUGACCUGUGGCUGGGGGUGAAAGGCCAAUCAAACCGGGAGAUAGCUGGUUCUCCCCGAAAGCUAUUUAGGUAGCGCCUCGUGAAUUCAUCUCCGGGGGUAGAGCACUGUUUCGGCUAGGGGGCCAUCCCGGCUUACCAACCCGAUGCAAACUGCGAAUACCGGAGAAUGUUAUCACGGGAGACACACGGCGGGUGCUAACGUCCGUCGUGAAGAGGGAAACAACCCAGACCGCCAGCUAAGGUCCCAAAGUCAUGGUUAAGUGGGAAACGAUGUGGGAAGGCCCAGACAGCCAGGAUGUUGGCUUAGAAGCAGCCAUCAUUUAAAGAAAGCGUAAUAGCUCACUGGUCGAGUCGGCCUGCGCGGAAGAUGUAACGGGGCUAAACCAUGCACCGAAGCUGCGGCAGCGA